GAGACGGAGUCUUGCUCUGUUGCCCAGGCUGGAGUGCAGUGGCAUGAUCUCAGCUCACUGCAACCUUCACCUCUUGGUUUCAAGCAAUUCUCUUGCCUCAGCCUCCUAAGUAGCUGGGAUUACAAGUGCCUGCCACCACGUCUGGCUAAUUUUUAUGUUUUUGGUAGAGUUGGGGUUUCACCAUGUUGACCAGGCUGGUCUUGACCUCCUGACCUGAGGUGAUCCGCCUGCCUCGGCCUUCCAAAGUGCUGGGAUUACAGGCAUGAGCCACCGCGCCUGGCCCCACCAUUAGCUUUUAAUCACUGUUUUCAGAAGGAGGUUGGUGGCAUGCGGGGGCCGGGCUGGGUGGCUUCCUCAGCAUGACGUCUGUGCAGAUGAGGCUGCGCGUCGUGCUCCAAAAAUACUUACCAUGUUUUGCCAGAAGAGAGGCCACCUUCUGCCCUCUGCUGAGGAUUUGAGUCCUUUUGCCCUUGGUGAGAACACCAAAGAGGACUGCCGGAAUGCGAGUUCAAAAGCAGAUUUCAAUCCUAAAUCUCUUAAACAGUCAGCAUUGGCUUGUCUCACUAGAAUACCCUGUUUCUCUUCUUCCUGAAUUCUUCCCCUGCCUGCCCCCAAAAUGUGAAGCUUGCUGAAAUCAAUUUGAAAGGAGACAGCACAUGCCUUUUGUUUCUCCGCUCUCCCCCUGUUUCUCUUCCUUCCUGCUCCCUGCAUAAUCUGAAUUAUCUGAAGGCAGGAGGAAGCCAAGGUCAGAUUCAGGCAAGGUACAUUUCUGAUGUAUGUGGACACGGAAGAGAAGAUGUCUAAAAGGCAACUAGAUGUGAGGCCUGGGCCCUGCAGAGUCUGCAGAGUAGAUCUGAACUUGGAAGUCAGCAUGGGAUGGAGCUGACCCCAGGGGAAAGGAACCGCGCAAGUGCAAGGUUUGCAUGAGUGGGUGCUUCUCAGGGUGACCAAGACCCUUCCGGAGACUUCAGUUCCUCUGACUAUAUGAGACCCAAGAGAAAAACAGCACAAAGUGCUCCUUGAGUUCAAGGGAAUACAUAAAUUCUGAACAUUUCCAUGUCUACUAGCAUACAACCUAAACAGGGAUAAAAAGACACCUUUCAAGUCAGAAAUAGGGAAGAUACCACUUCUCUGCAUUUGCUGCUACCUCUUUAUUCCUUUCUUUAGGUCACCAAAUAUCUAUUGAGUGCUUGCUCUGUGAUCUGGCAGACAACUCAAAGGCACAGAGAUGAAGAUGACACGCUCCAUGGAGCCAGGAAAGGGCCUGGAUGCUGUGGGAAACACUACAAUAGGUAGAACUCUGUAAAAAUGAGAUUUCAAUGAAGUUUACCAUCUAGUGGAGAAGAGAUCCAAGGACACCCGUGACUGAGAAAUAAAACAGAAUCAACUGGGUGCAAUAGGAGAAGUUGCUGACAAAGGGCUUGGAGACUGAGAAGAGAGAGAAACAUCACCAAGUUCCUUACAGAGAAAGGCAUUUGAUAAAAUGUGUGUUGAAUGAAAGGACCAGGGGUUUGUGGAGGAUGAGGAAAUGAUGGCUGUGAGAUGGGCCUGAGAGGAGGGGCAGGGUUUUGAACUUGGGAGGAAAGGUGCCAUCCCAUUCAGAAGGAGGAUGAAAUCGGGGAUAAAAUGAGGUGGCUGAUAUGAAAGUAGGGCAUCCUUGGCUUGGGCUUGUGAGAAGUGUGGGCCACAGUGUUAUGGCCAGUCAGGAGCCAGGCUUUCAGUUCUAAUGGGGCUUAGAGAAAAGGCCGAUUCAAGUCUCUUUGCUCAUGGCAAGAGGAGGAAAGGGGGCUCUUGGUAACCGAGGACCUGCUUCUUAAGUGUUGGAGACUUUGCAUUCAUUACCUCUUUUAACACUAAGAACUCUGUGAGGUAGCUCCUUAGUCCCAGCACUUUUCAGGUGUGGAAACUAAGGCUUAGAGAAGAAGUGUGUCC
This 1932-nucleotide non-coding RNA is filed under the name Pongo abelii (Sumatran orangutan). The record is from RNAcentral. Lineage: Eukaryota; Metazoa; Chordata; Mammalia; Primates; Hominidae.